GAUGAACGCUAGCUACAGGCUUAACACAUGCAAGUCGAGGGGAAACGAUAUUGGAAGCUUGCUUCCGAUAGGCGUCGACCGGCGCACGGGUGAGUAACGCGUAUCCAACCUGCCCAUCACUUGGGGAUAACCUUGCGAAAGUAAGACUAAUACCCAAUGACGUCUCUAGAAGACAUCUGAAGGAGAUUAAAGAUUUAUCGGUGAUGGAUGGGGAUGCGUCUGAUUAGCUUGUUGGCGGGGUAACGGCCCACCAAGGCGACGAUCAGUAGGGGUUCUGAGAGGAAGGCCCCCCACAUUGGAACUGAGACACGGUCCAAACUCCUACGGGAGGCAGCAGUGGGGAAUAUUGCACAAUGGGGGAAACCCUGAUGCAGCGACGCCGCGUGGAGGAAGAAGGUCUUCGGAUUGUAAACUCCUGUUGUUGGGGAAGAUAAUGACGGUACCCAACAAGGAAGUGACGGCUAACUACGUG
Molecule: ribosomal RNA, 472 nt
Filed under: uncultured bacterium
Lineage: Bacteria
Description: bacterial SSU rRNA
Rfam family: Bacterial small subunit ribosomal RNA
Source: RNAcentral